AAACAUUGAUUGUUCAAUCCGCCCGGGAAUUACGAACACCAGUCUGAAACCCAAAGGACUUGGCGGUGCUUUACAUCCACCUAGAGGAGCCUGUCCUAUAACCGAUAAACCCCGUUAAACCUCACCCUCCCUUGCCCGCCUAUAUACCGCCGUCGUCAGCUUACCCUAUGAAGGCUCAAUAGUAAGCGCAAUUGGCACAGCCCAGUACGUCAGGUCGAGGUGUAGUACAUGAGAGGGGAAGAGAUGGGCUACAUUCGCUCGAGCAUUGAAAGAAGGAGGAUUUAGUAGUAAGCUGGGAAUAGAGUGCCCAACUGAAAUCGGCCCUAAAGCGCGC
RNAcentral lists this ribosomal RNA (334 nucleotides) under Sphyraena guachancho. Its description in RNAcentral is "partial 12S ribosomal RNA". It matches the Rfam family "Bacterial small subunit ribosomal RNA", at positions 804 to 1384 of the family's 1533-position model. The record is from RNAcentral. Lineage: Eukaryota; Metazoa; Chordata; Actinopteri; Sphyraenidae.